Molecule: unclassified non-coding RNA, 312 nt
Filed under: uncultured Verrucomicrobiae bacterium
Lineage: Bacteria; Pseudomonadati; Verrucomicrobiota; Verrucomicrobiia
Description: contains 16S-23S intergenic spacer region
Source: RNAcentral
UCCGGUUUGUCACCGGCGGUCUCCUUAGAGUUCCCACCAUUACGUGCUGGCAACUAAGGACAAGGGUUGCGCCCCUUGCGGGGUCGUCCCACUUUCAUGGUUCUACCACUUGCAUGUCAAGGCCAGGUAAGGUUCUUCGCGUUGCAUCGAAUUAAGCCACAUACUCCACCGCUUGUGCAGGCCCCCGUCAAUUUCUUUGAGUUUUAAUCUUGCGACCGUACUCCCCAGGCGGCGCGUUUAUCGCGUUAGCUUCGCCACAGAAGGGGUCGAUUCCUCCUACAGCAAACGCGCACCGUUUAGGGCCGGGACUAC